AUAAAGCUAUGGGGAUAUCUCCGGCCGAGGUAUUUGGAAUUUUUCGAUUUUUUUGUAGUCCCUUCGUCAUCAGUAUUAGCAUUUUUGUUUCGAUUUAAAUCGCCUAUUAGAAGGGUAUUAUGUAUGGGUGUUUUCAUCUUUAAUCGUUCUAUUGUGUUUACUCGUGGAAUUGAAUGGAAAUGUUGUGAUAAAUUCUUGAUGAAGAUGUUUCGAUUUUUCUCUUCUCUGAAUUUUCUUUUGAAAGCUUGAUAUUCUGAGAGACAAGACAAUACAUAACGUACGAUUGGUGAAAUUGAAGGGAAAUUCUUGUGAUUAAUUAUUGUUAAAGUUCAAAUGUUAAAGACUUUUAUUUUAGGUGUUGUUUUGCAGAUUCGACAAUUGUUUUGGAGCUGCCCCUUGAUGUGAGAAAAGAUUUUGCAUCAUUGAUCUUAUUUCUUCAUACAACUAAGUAGAUACUCGUCCAAAUAUUGCACUUCAAAUCUGAAUUCGGAGUUUGUACUCCAAAAUUCACUCAGAAUUUCGUCCAAAAACACAUCUACCAUCAGUAAUCAUUGUUGCGAUUAGCAAGUGUGUUUGCAAAGCAUGGCUCCAUCUUCUUGGCACUAGCCUAUAUUUGUAAAUGCCCACCCGUUUUGGUGUCGGCGCGUGUGUGUCUCAACAAUUCCCGAUUCCCCUCCCUUUCCAACAAUGGAUCGUUCAAUGAUGUUUGCCGCUGCUAAUGGCUU
Molecule: long non-coding RNA, 725 nt
Filed under: Salvia miltiorrhiza (redroot sage)
Lineage: Eukaryota; Viridiplantae; Streptophyta; Magnoliopsida; Lamiales; Lamiaceae
Description: long non-coding RNA (SMIL_LNC011536)
Source: RNAcentral